RNAcentral lists this ribosomal RNA (503 nucleotides) under uncultured bacterium. Its description in RNAcentral is "partial 16S ribosomal RNA". It matches the Rfam family "Bacterial small subunit ribosomal RNA", at positions 30 to 523 of the family's 1533-position model. The record is from RNAcentral.
AUUGAACGCUGGCGGCAGGCUUAACACAUGCAAGUCGAGCGGGGUGAUGGUGCUUGCACUAUCACUUAGCGGCGGACGGGUGAGUAAUGCUUAGGAAUCUGCCUAUUAGUGGGGGACAACAUCUCGAAAGGGAUGCUAAUACCGCAUACGUCCUACGGGAGAAAGCAGGGGAUCACUUGUGACCUUGCGCUAAUAGAUGAGCCUAAGUCGGAUUAGCUAGUUGGUGGGGUAAAGGCCUACCAAGGCGACGAUCUGUAGCGGGUCUGGGAGGAUGAUCCGCCAGACUGGGACUGAGACACGGCCCAGACUCCUACGGGAGGCAGCAGUGGGGAAUAUUGGACAAUGGGGGGAACCCUGAUCUAGCCAUGCCGCGUAUGUGAAGAAGGCCUUAUGGUUGUAAAGCACUUUAAGCGAGGAGGAGGCUCUUUUGGUUAAUACCCAAGAUGAGUGGACGUUACUCGCAGAAUAAGCACCGGCUAACUCUGUGCCAGCCGCCGCGGUAA